RNAcentral lists this RNase P RNA (380 nucleotides) under Candidatus Chlorohelix allophototropha. Its description in RNAcentral is "RNase P RNA component class A". It matches the Rfam family "Bacterial RNase P class A". Rfam says of the family: Ribonuclease P (RNase P) is a ubiquitous endoribonuclease, found in archaea, bacteria and eukarya as well as chloroplasts and mitochondria. Its best characterised activity is the generation of mature 5'-ends of tRNAs by cleaving the 5'-leader elements of precursor-tRNAs. The record is from RNAcentral. Lineage: Bacteria; Bacillati; Chloroflexota; Chloroflexia; Candidatus Chloroheliales; Candidatus Chloroheliaceae.
GUAGGGAGAAGGGCAGUCGCUGGUGCAAACCAGAGGAAAGUCCGAGCUACAAAGAGCGGGGUGUCGUGUGGAGACGAAAGUUUAAGCGCGAGAAGCGACCUUACGAGGUCGUUGACAGUCCAGAUUGGGUCGGUCGUUAAGCUUGCUGAAAAGUAAGAGCAGCGACAGGCAGAGCAACAGAGACGAAAACCCUUGCGAAAGCAAGGGGGUGAAAAGGGCAAUCCUCCCUGUAGCAAUCUCCGAGUUGGCGGAUAAAGACGGUUGCUCGCCGGAGCCAGAAGACGAGAGCAGUCGUGGAGGCGACGACACGACCGGUGCUGCAAAGUACCGAGAUAGAUGACUGCCAUGAACAGAACUCGGCUUACUCUCUUUCUACCCGU